RNAcentral lists this long non-coding RNA (1078 nucleotides) under Heterocephalus glaber (naked mole-rat). RNAcentral's name for it is "lncRNA (ENSHGLG00000041191.1)". Lineage: Eukaryota; Metazoa; Chordata; Mammalia; Rodentia; Bathyergidae. The record is from RNAcentral.
GGAAGUUAAUUUAAUCCUUGGAGUUUUAUAUGUGUACUCACUAUCUUAAAUGGUAUGUUUUUUUUUUUUUUUUGAGAUAUGGUCUCACUGUGUAGUUCAGAUUGGCCUUGAACUCACUAUAUAGCCCAGGCUGACUUCAAACUCACAGCGAUCCUCCUGCCUCAGUCUCAGAUUUGAGUUUUCUCUUUAACUUGAGUUACUUAGAAGCAUCAGUAUUUAUUCUAAUAGUUUAAAUUUGAAAUGUUCCCUAAAGGCCCUGAGUUAAAGGCUUGGCACUCAGCUUGGUGCUAUUGUGGGGGCAGGGGUGGUUAUGGAAUCGUUAAGAGAAAAAACCUUAGUGGGAGAUUUUAGAUCAUUUGGGGGCAUGUGUUUGAAGGACAUUGUUGGAUGCCAGUCUUUUCUCUCGUUUCCUAGCCAUUCAAUGAACAGGUUUCCUUUGCCAUAUCCUCCUGUCACAAUGUACUUCCUUGCCCCGGGCCCAGAAGUAACAAGACCAACUGACCAUGGACUGAAACCUCCAAAACUGAUCAAACUCAGGACCUUGUGCUUGCAAGGCAGGCAGCAGAGCCACUGAGCCAAAUCCCCAGUCCCUUCCUCUUUCCCUUUUAAGCUGUGUAUGUCAGACCAUUGGAGGGAAGUAAAUAGUUGUCAGUUAUCAGCAGUAAAUCCCGAUGUCAACAAGUUUCAAGAUGAAGUCCUACAAAACAGGAAGAGAACUUAUCAAGUAAGUAUUCAUGGGGUACCUCCUGCUUAUUUAAAAUGCUUUGUUAACUAUAGGACACUUUACAGGUAUGAGAUAGCCUCAUUACUGUGGUAACUACUAACUAGAAUCAUUAAUGCUAGUCCUAUAAAAGUAUAAAAAUCUGUACUGUCUAGCUUAGAACAGUGAUAAAACAGGUACAGAUUGGAUAAAGCUCCCAGAGAACAUAUAACAAUGUUAGGUUUAUGAACUUGCUGUAACAAUUAACAUGAGGAACCAGGGCCCUCUCCUAUGAGGAAAUAAGGGAUUUUUAAAGGGGUUGGAAUGAUUCUAAACCUCGUAUCUUGAGGUACUAGGGUUGUGGGGAUCACUUGUGGA